Marmota monax (woodchuck) is the source of this 435-nucleotide long non-coding RNA. RefSeq lists it as uncharacterized. The transcript is spliced from 2 exons. The record is from RefSeq and is a predicted model, not a curated record. Lineage: Eukaryota; Metazoa; Chordata; Mammalia; Rodentia; Sciuridae.
GACAGCUGACUUAAAUCUUCUGCAGGGCCAGACGCUCCUGAGUAAAAAAAUGAGGGGCUUCUCGAGAGGAAAUGAAAGGAGACAGAUGUGGUUUUUGCUGAAGGUUUUCUGAUGUGAGGAUUCAUUUUGAAAUAGAAAGAUGGGCCUGGAAGUGUGAUGUCAGCUCAGGCAUUUGGAGCCCCUGCUGGAGAGCACACGGAGCAUUAGCAGAGAUGUCGACUGGUUUCUUCAUUGCUGAGUUGGUUGUCCCCAUGAGAAGAGGACAGGACACAGACACACGCAGAGGGACCACCAUGUGCAGAGGCAGCAGGCAGUGCCAUGUGGAUGCUAGGCAGCAAGGCCUUGGAGGAUAGAAACUGUAAUAGAAUCUUGAUCUUGGACUUCCAGCUUUCAGACCUGUAAGAAAAUAAAGGUUAAGCCACUGUGGUUAAGUCA